Molecule: ribosomal RNA, 845 nt
Filed under: uncultured Staphylococcus sp.
Lineage: Bacteria; Bacillati; Bacillota; Bacilli; Caryophanales; Staphylococcaceae
Description: bacterial SSU rRNA
Rfam family: Bacterial small subunit ribosomal RNA
Source: RNAcentral
AACAGAUAAGGAGCUUGCUCCUUUGACGUUAGCGGCGGACGGGUGAGUAACACGUGGGUAACCUACCUAUAAGACUGGGAUAACUUCGGGAAACCGGAGCUAAUACCGGAUAAUAUAUUGAACCGCAUGGUUCAAUAGUGAAAGACGGUUUUGCUGUCACUUAUAGAUGGAUCCGCGCCGCAUUAGCUAGUUGGUAAGGUAACGGCUUACCAAGGCAACGAUGCGUAGCCGACCUGAGAGGGUGAUCGGCCACACUGGAACUGAGACACGGUCCAGACUCCUACGGGAGGCAGCAGUAGGGAAUCUUCUGCAAUGGGCGAAAGCCUGACGGAGCAACGCCGCGUGAGUGAUGAAGGUCUUCGGAUCGUAAAACUCUGUUAUUAGGGAAGAACAAAUGUGUAAGUAACUAUGCACGUCUUGACGGUACCUAAUCAGAAAGCCACGGCUAACUACGUGCCAGCAGCCGCGGUAAUACGUAGGUGGCAAGCGUUAUCCGGAAUUAUUGGGCGUAAAGCGCGCGUAGGCGGUUUUUUAAGUCUGAUGUGAAAGCCCACGGCUCAACCGUGGAGGGUCAUUGGAAACUGGAAAACUUGAGUGCAGAAGAGGAAAGUGGAAUUCCAUGUGUAGCGGUGAAAUGCGCAGAGAUAUGGAGGAACACCAGUGGCGAAGGCGACUUUCUGGUCUGUAACUGACGCUGAUGUGCGAAAGCGUGGGGAUCAAACAGGAUUAGAUACCCUGGUAGUCCACGCCGUAAACGAUGAGUGCUAAGUGUUAGGGGGUUUCCGCCCCUUAGUGCUGCAGCUAACGCAUUAAGCACUCCGCCUGGGGAGUACGACCGCAAGUUG